This 825-nucleotide unclassified non-coding RNA is filed under the name Hevea brasiliensis (rubber tree). The record is from RNAcentral. Lineage: Eukaryota; Viridiplantae; Streptophyta; Magnoliopsida; Malpighiales; Euphorbiaceae.
UAAGUUGCCAAGACAUUGAGGAAGAGGACCAGAAAACUGGUUACUACGGAGUCCCAACUCAGUGAGACUUUUCAAUCCACAUAAUCCUACGAUAGGAGAAAAAAAAAAUAGAAUAGAAUGUUGGAAUAACCAUUUCAAUACAUAAUAAUUGUUAAUUUGCCGAAGCACAAAAGUUCUCCCUCUAAUUUGCUUAGUUAACAUUUCAAGAACAUAAAAAGUGUAGAUCCUUAUUUGAAGUCCUUAGAAUAUUAUUCAACAUAGAAUAAGAAAAAGAAAAUUGCACUUAGAUAACUAAUUUUGUGCCUUAGAAUGUAUUUAAUAAGCACCCAAAUAAAAAGAACAUAAGAGAUGAGAUAUGAAGUUACCUUCAACUGAUUGGGUGCCAUUGAACUGAUUGUAACUUAUAUCCAACGUUUCCAAGGUUUUCAGAUUAACCUUGCUAGGGAAAGAACCAGCCAUGUCAUUGCUUCGAAGAAUCAAAGUCUUUAGUGAUACAAGACCACUCAUGUGUGGUAAGAUACUGUUGUUGAACAUAUUAGAGCUAAGAUCUAAAACUUGUAGCUUCUUCAAACUUGAUGAUCUAUCAAAACCUUCCAUUGAGAUGCCAUUGAAUUGAUUCUCACUUAUAUCCAAAGUUUCCAAGUUUUUCAAAUCAACUAACUCUGAACCAUGCAUAUUGUAAUUGUGCACAUUGAAAACAAAAAGGGCUUUGGUUAGAUGUGAAAUUAAGUGGAUAAUUUAGAAGAUUGUAAUGCCAAAAAGCAUACCUUUAAUAGGGAACAAACCAGCCAUGUUGUUUCCUCUAAGAAUCAAAGUCUUAAGCGA